AGUGUGUAGGUAUUUAGGCUCUGUUUCCCUGUGUGUGGAGGCUGGUAGAGUGUGUGUGUGUGUGUGAGAUCCUUGUGGCAGAGGCAGUAGAGAUCUACUAGAAACAGUGGAGAGGGAGGAGAUGAUAUGCAGCAAAAGGCCGAGCCGGAUGGUUGCUGCUCCAUGUGGAACGUGUUCUAUCAGGUGUAACAUCUACCAAUGGUUGUACAUGACAGAGACCUCCUCCACCUCUUUGCUGUCUUACUAGUCAAUCCUCCUGAUCAGAGCCUUUCCUAAAUAGUGAAAGGAUCAUGCCAGCCCACAUCAAACACCUGAUCAAGAGCUUGUGAACCUCACUGCUGCGGACACCUGUGUGAUAUUCCACUCUGACUGGAACCCUCAAAAUGACCUACAGGCUCAACCUCGGUGUCAUCGUUUUGGCCAGUCUAAGGCGGUGAAGGUGUACCAUCUGAUCACUAGAUACUAUGAGAAGGAAAUGCUGGAUAAAGCUAGUCUGAAGCUCGGGCUGGACCGUGCCGUCCUGCAGAGCAUGAGUGGGAACAAAGAAGGCAACAACAACGGGCCGGUCCAGCAGUUCUCCAAGAAGGAGAUCGAGGACCUACUGAGGAAAGGAGCCUACGACGCCAUCAUGAACGAGAACGACGAAGGCAAUCGCUUCUGCUAGGAGGACAUCGACCAGAUCCUGCAGCGAAGAGCCACCAUCAACACCAUCACCAGUUUGCUUCAAGCAGUGGCUGUACGAGGAAGACGUGGAGGACCAAGAAAUGCUGGCCAGAUUGGCAAAGACCGGAAGAUACAUAACAGAGAAGAUAAUGGAUAUUAACAAGAGAAAUAAAAAAAAUGUUUAUAAUUUCUUUGUUGCUGUUUAAAUUUAGAAUUAUAUUUGUUAUUUUUUAAAUCAAAUCUAUUUUAGAUGAUAUAUUUAUUUAGAUGUCCAUGCUGGUCAACACCAUGCUGUUUUUUUCAGCAGGAAUGCAACCACACACUUGUAAAAAAAAUAACACACUUUAUAUUAUAAAGUCAGGCAACACUAUAACCAGGCUUCGUGUGAUUCAGUUUAUUUGUACCUUACUUUGACCAUCCGUUCACUGUCAUUGAUCAUUGUGGAGAGGAUCAAGCAGACGUUUUGUUUUGUAUUAGCAGCUAUCGGAUAGAAUCAAUACUGUACAUGGGCUGCACAGGUUGUGCUGUCCGACUAUCACAAGUAGAAUCAUAAUGAAAAGGUGAAAUGUGCCUGUAGAAAACGGCUUAUGCCACAAUAGGAUAGUAACAAGUAGUCAAGAUAGUCAGUUUAGCUUCGGUUGCUGUUGCAUAACUGCGGUCAACUCAGCCGUCUCUCGCGUUCGCUUGGUCAAAUCAGCAGCUAUUCAUUUUUGAGUGCGCAAUGAAUAGCGCCUUUACGGUAAUCGCUGUACAAGAGUAAAAUAAUGCAUUUUUUUUUCUGCUUUAUUUGCAAUACAAGUCAUUUGUACCAUAAGUUCUUAAUAAAACUGACACUGUUUGACUCAGUCCUAGUUUGACUGCUACAAUAAAAUGAAGUUUUUACUGUGUACUUUUUGGGUAAUACUCUCUCAAAGCCCCCUCCUGAGAACAAAAUCAUGCCACUUCUGCUUCCGC
This is an RNA transcript of Gymnodraco acuticeps, 1617 nucleotides long. It is a transcript of the gene named chromodomain-helicase-DNA-binding protein 8-like, with no coding region annotated. The transcript is spliced from 6 exons. Lineage: Eukaryota; Metazoa; Chordata; Actinopteri; Perciformes; Bathydraconidae. The record is from RefSeq and is a predicted model, not a curated record.